Molecule: ribosomal RNA, 407 nt
Filed under: uncultured bacterium
Lineage: Bacteria
Description: partial 16S ribosomal RNA
Rfam family: Bacterial small subunit ribosomal RNA
Source: RNAcentral
AUUGAACGCUGGCGGCAGGCCUAACACAUGCAAGUCGAGCGGAGCGGCGGACGGGUGAGUAAUGCCUAUGAAUCUGCCUGGUCGUGGGGGAUAACGUCCGGAAACGGGCGCUAAUACCGCAUACUCUCAGAUGAGCCUGGGUCGGAUUAGCUAGUUGGUGGGGUAACGGCUAACCAAGGCGACGAUCCGUAACUGGUCUGAGAGGAUGAUCAGUCACACUGGAACUGAGACACGGUCCAGACUCCUACGGGAGGCAGCAGUGGGGAAUAUUGGACAAUGGGCGAAAGCCUGAUCCAGCCAUGCCGCGUGUAUGAAGAAGGUCUUCGGAUUGUAAAGUACUUUAAGUUGGGAGGCGUUACCCGCAGAAUAAGCACCGGCUAACUUCGUGCCAGCAGCCGCGGUAAUUC